This 429-nucleotide ribosomal RNA is filed under the name Fusobacteriota bacterium. RNAcentral describes it as "Fusobacteria bacterium partial 16S ribosomal RNA". It matches the Rfam family "Bacterial small subunit ribosomal RNA", at positions 355 to 776 of the family's 1533-position model. Lineage: Bacteria; Fusobacteriati; Fusobacteriota. The record is from RNAcentral.
UGGGGAAUAUUGCGCAAUGGGCGAAAGCCUGACGCAGCGACGCCGCGUGAGGGAUGAAGGUUUUCGGAUCGUAAACCUCUGUCAGAAGGGAAGAAACCGCACUGUGCUAAUCAGCAGUGCCUUGACGGUACCUUCAAAGGAAGCACCGGCUAACUCCGUGCCAGCAGCCGCGGUAAUACCGAGGGUGCAAGCGUUAAUCGGAAUUACUGGGCGUAAAGCGCACGUAGGCUGCUUUGUAAGUCAGGGGUGAAAUCCCACGGCUCAACCGUGGAACUGCCUUUGAUACUGCUUAGCUUGAAUCCGGGAGAGGGUGGCGGAAUUCCAGGUGUAGGAGUGAAAUCCGUAGAUAUCUGGAGGAACAUCAGUGGCGAAGGCGGCCACCUGGACCGGUAUUGACGCUGAGGUGCGAAAGCGUGGGGAGCAAACAGG